RNAcentral lists this transfer RNA (68 nucleotides) under Marmota monax (woodchuck). RNAcentral's name for it is "tRNA.Ala". The record is from RNAcentral. Lineage: Eukaryota; Metazoa; Chordata; Mammalia; Rodentia; Sciuridae.
GGAUUGUGGCUCAGAGGUAGAGCACUUGCCUAGCACGUGCGAGGCCCUGGGUUCAAUCCUCCGCACCA